RNAcentral lists this ribosomal RNA (300 nucleotides) under uncultured Sulfurovum sp. Its description in RNAcentral is "bacterial SSU rRNA". It matches the Rfam family "Bacterial small subunit ribosomal RNA", at positions 355 to 672 of the family's 1533-position model. The record is from RNAcentral. Lineage: Bacteria; Pseudomonadati; Campylobacterota; Epsilonproteobacteria; Campylobacterales; Sulfurovaceae.
UGGGGAAUAUUGCACAAUGGACGAAAGUCUGAUGCAGCAACGCCGCGUGGAGGAUGACACAUUUCGGUGCGUAAACUCCUUUUAUGUGAGAAGAUAAUGACGGUAUCACAUGAAUAAGCACCGGCUAACUCCGUGCCAGCAGCCGCGGUAAUACGGAGGGUGCAAGCGUUACUCGGAAUCACUGGGCGUAAAGCGCGCGCAGGCGGCUUUGUAAGUUGGAUGUGAAAUCCUAUGGCUCAACCAUAGAACUGCAUCCAAAACUACUUAGCUAGAGUCUGGGAGGGGAAGAUGGAUUGUGGG